AAUAGAUACCCGGGUAGUCCACGCCGUAAACGAUGUCGACUUGGAGGUUGUGCCCUUGAGGCGUGGCUUCCGGAGCUAACGCGUUAAGUCGACCGCCUGGGGAGUACGGCCGCAAGGUUAAAACUCAAAUGAAUUGACGGGGGCCCGCACAAGCGGUGGAGCAUGUGGUUUAAUUCGAUGCAACGCGAAGAACCUUACCUACUCUUGACAUCCAGAGAACUUAGCAGAGAUGCUUUGGUGCCUUCGGGAACUCUGAGACAGGUGCUGCAUGGCUGUCGUCAGCUCGUGUUGUGAAAUGUUGGGUUAAGUCCCGCAACGAGCGCAACCCUUAUCCUUUGUUGCCAGCGAUUCGGUCGGGAACUCAAAGGAGACUGCCAGUGAUAAACUGGAGGAAGGUGGGGAUGACGUCAAGUCAUCAUGGCCCUUACGAGUAGGGCUACACACGUGCUACAAUGGCAUAUACAAAGAGAAGCGACCUCGCGAGAGCAAGCGGACCUCAUAAAGUAUGUCGUAGUCCGGA
RNAcentral lists this ribosomal RNA (520 nucleotides) under uncultured bacterium. RNAcentral's name for it is "bacterial SSU rRNA". It matches the Rfam family "Bacterial small subunit ribosomal RNA", at positions 777 to 1297 of the family's 1533-position model. The record is from RNAcentral.